AGAGUUUGAUCCUGGCUCAGGAUGAACGCUGGCGGCGUGCUUAACACAUGCAAGUCGAACGAAGCACUUUAUUUGAUUUCCUUCGGGACUGAUUAUUUUGUGACUGAGUGGCGGACGGGUGAGUAACGCGUGGGUAACCUGCCUUGUACAGGGGGAUAACAGUUGGAAACGGCUGCUAAUACCGCAUAAGCGCACAGCAUCGCAUGAUGCAGUGUGAAAAACUCCGGUGGUAUAAGAUGGACCCGCGUUGGAUUAGCUAGUUGGUGAGGUAACGGCCCACCAAGGCGACGAUCCAUAGCCGACCUGAGAGGGUGACCGGCCACAUUGGGACUGAGACACGGCCCAAACUCCUACGGGAGGCAGCAGUGGGGAAUAUUGCACAAUGGGCGAAAGCCUGAUGCAGCGACGCCGCGUGAGCGAAGAAGUAUUUCGGUAUGUAAAGCUCUAUCAGCAGGGAAGAUAAUGACGGUACCUGACUAAGAAGCCCCGGCUAACUACGUGCCAGCAGCCGCGGUAAUACGUAGGGGGCAAGCGUUAUCCGGAUUUACUGGGUGUAAAGGGAGCGUAGACGGCACGGCAAGCCAGAUGUGAAAGCCCGGGGCUCAACCCCGGGACUGCAUUUGGAACUGCUGAGCUAGAGUGUCGGAGAGGCAAGUGGAAUUCCUAGUGUAGCGGUGAAAUGCGUAGAUAUUAGGAGGAACACCAGUGGCGAAGGCGGCUUACUGGACGAUAACUGACGCUGAGGCUCGAAAGCGUGGGGAGCAAACAGGAUUAGAUACCCUGGUAGUCCACACUGUAAACGAUGAUAACUAGGUGUGGGGGGUCUGACCCCUUCCGUGCCGCAGUUAACACAAUAAGUAAUCCACCUGGGGAGUACGGCCGCAAGGUUGAAACUCAAAGGAAUUGACGGGGGCCCGCACAAGCAGUGGAGUAUGUGGUUUAAUUCGAAGCAACGCGAAGAACCUUACCAGGUCUUGACAUCGAGUGACGUACCUAGAGAUAGGUAUUUUCUUCGGAACACAAAGACAGGUGGUGCAUGGUUGUCGUCAGCUCGUGUCGUGAGAUGUUGGGUUAAGUGCCAUAACGAGCGCAACCCUUGUUGUCAGUUACUAACAGGAUUUGCUGAGGACUCUGACAAGACUGCCAUCGUAAGAUGUGAGGAAGGUGGGGAUGACGUCAAAUCAGCACGGCCCUUACGUCCGGGGCUACACACGUGUUACAAUGGGGGGUACAGAGGGCCGCUACCACGCGAGUGGAUGCCAAUCCCAAAAACCUCUCUCAGUUCGGACUGGAGUCUGCAACCCGACUCCACGAAGCUGGAUUCGCUAGUAAUCGCGCAUCAGCCACGGCGCGGUGAAUACGUUCCCGGGCCUUGUACACACCGCCCGUCA
This 1391-nucleotide ribosomal RNA is filed under the name uncultured bacterium. RNAcentral's name for it is "bacterial SSU rRNA". It matches the Rfam family "Bacterial small subunit ribosomal RNA". The record is from RNAcentral.